Molecule: ribosomal RNA, 441 nt
Filed under: Streptococcus mitis
Lineage: Bacteria; Bacillati; Bacillota; Bacilli; Lactobacillales; Streptococcaceae
Description: bacterial SSU rRNA
Rfam family: Bacterial small subunit ribosomal RNA
Source: RNAcentral
GACGAACGCGGCGGCGUGCCUAAUACAUGCAAGUAGAACGCUGAAGGAGGAGCUUGCUUCUCUGGAUGAGUUGCGAACGGGUGAGUAACGCGUAGGUAACCUGCCUGGUAGCGGGGGAUAACUAUUGGAAACGAUAGCUAAUACCGCAUAAUAGCAGUUAUUGCAUGAUAACUGUUUGAAAGGUGCAAUUGCACCACUACCAGAUGGACCUGCGUUGUAUUAGCUAGUUGGUGGGGUAACGGCUCACCAAGGCGACGAUACAUAGCCGACCUGAGAGGGUGAUCGGCCACACUGGGACUGAGACACGGCCCAGACUCCUACGGGAGGCAGCAGUAGGGAAUCUUCGGCAAUGGACGGAAGUCUGACCGAGCAACGCCGCGUGAGUGAAGAAGGUUUUCGGAUCGUAAAGCUUCUGUUGUAAAGAGAAAGAAACGAAGUGUG